This 75-nucleotide transfer RNA is filed under the name Pseudomonas syringae pv. actinidiae. RNAcentral's name for it is "tRNA-Ile". It matches the Rfam family "tRNA". From Rfam's summary of the family: Transfer RNA (tRNA) molecules are approximately 80 nucleotides in length. The record is from RNAcentral. Lineage: Bacteria; Pseudomonadati; Pseudomonadota; Gammaproteobacteria; Pseudomonadales; Pseudomonadaceae.
GCCUGUAUAGCUCAGCGGUAGAGCGCAUCCUUGAUAAGGGUGGGGUCGGUAGUUCGAAUCUACCUAUAGGCACCA